AUACUUAACUUGGUACAGGAGAUACUAUGAUUAUGAAGGUGGUUUUCUCAAGGGAGGCUUAUCCAUUGCAUUCCAGACAUGGUGACCCCUUGGAUUUGUCCAAAUGUAAGGA
RNAcentral lists this small nuclear RNA (112 nucleotides) under Cavia aperea (Brazilian guinea pig). RNAcentral's name for it is "U1 spliceosomal RNA (ENSCAPG00000000743.1)". It matches the Rfam family "U1 spliceosomal RNA", at positions 1 to 112 of the family's 166-position model. Rfam says of the family: U1 is a small nuclear RNA (snRNA) component of the spliceosome (involved in pre-mRNA splicing). Its 5' end forms complementary base pairs with the 5' splice junction, thus defining the 5' donor site of an intron. Lineage: Eukaryota; Metazoa; Chordata; Mammalia; Rodentia; Caviidae. The record is from RNAcentral.